Molecule: ribosomal RNA, 465 nt
Filed under: uncultured Klebsiella sp.
Lineage: Bacteria; Pseudomonadati; Pseudomonadota; Gammaproteobacteria; Enterobacterales; Enterobacteriaceae
Description: bacterial SSU rRNA
Rfam family: Bacterial small subunit ribosomal RNA
Source: RNAcentral
CCUACGGGGGGCAGCAGUGGGGAAUAUUGCACAAUGGGCGCAAGCCUGAUGCAGCCAUGCCGCGUGUGUGAAGAAGGCCUUCGGGUUGUAAAGCACUUUCAGCGGGGAGGAAGGCGGUGAGGUUAAUAACCUCAUCGAUUGACGUUACCCGCAGAAGAAGCACCGGCUAACUCCGUGCCAGCAGCCGCGGUAAUACGGAGGGUGCAAGCGUUAAUCGGAAUUACUGGGCGUAAAGCGCACGCAGGCGGUCUGUCAAGUCGGAUGUGAAAUCCCCGGGCUCAACCUGGGAACUGCAUUCGAAACUGGCAGGCUAGAGUCUUGUAGAGGGGGGUAGAAGUCCAGGCGUAGCGGUGAAAUGCGUAGAGAUCUGGAGGAAUACCGGUGGCGAAGGCGGCCCCCUGGACAAAGACUGACGCUCAGGUGCGAAAGCGUGGGGAGCAAACAGGAUUAGAUACCCCGGUAGUC